UACGUAGGGUGCAAGCGUUAAUCGGAAUUACUGGGCGUAAAGCGUGCGCAGGCGGUUUUGUAAGUCUGUCGUGAAAUCCCCGGGCUCAACCCGGGAACUGCGUCCGAUACUGGAAGGCUUGAAUCCGGGAGAGGGAUGUGGAAUUCCAGGUGUAGCGGUGAAAUGCGUAGAUAUCUGGAGGAACACCGGUGGCGAAGGCGACAUCCUGGACCGGCAUUGACGCUGAGGCGCGAAAGCCAGGGGAGCAAACGGG
This 253-nucleotide ribosomal RNA is filed under the name uncultured bacterium. RNAcentral's name for it is "partial 16S ribosomal RNA". It matches the Rfam family "Bacterial small subunit ribosomal RNA", at positions 524 to 776 of the family's 1533-position model. The record is from RNAcentral.